CAUCAGUCUUGGUAUUUUUAGAACCAGGUCUAUAAGUAAUGAGAAAGUUAAAACGUGAAAGGAACAGUGACCAUCUAGCCUGUCUGGAAGACAAACGUUUGGCAUCCCCUAUAUAUGCCAGAUUUUUGUGGUCGGUUAUGAUCAACAGGGGGUCCUUGGAACCCUCCAAAAGAUGUCGCCACUCCUUGAGGGCAAGAAUAAUGGCCAACAGUUCUCUAUUACCAAUAUCAUAGUUGCGCUCAGCAGGAGACAUCUUUCUGGAGAAGUAGCCACAAGGAUGCAAUGGUGUUCCCUGGCUUUCUCUCUGAGAGAGAACAGCCCCUACCCCUGUCUCGGAUGCAUCAACCUCCAAUAUAAAAGGUUUACUAGUGUCGGGAUGUUUUAGUAUGUCCGCAGAGGCAAAUCUUUGUUUAAGAGUCUCAAAAGCAUUCACAGCCUCUUUGGACCAUACCUUGCUACUAACCCCUUUGCGAGUCAUAUUUGUGAUUGGGGCUAUUACAGAAGAAAAUCCCUUGAUGAAUGUUCUGUAAUAGUUGGCAAAACCAAUAAACCUUUGAAUGGCUUUU
RNAcentral lists this long non-coding RNA (566 nucleotides) under Pelobates cultripes (western spadefoot toad). The record is from RNAcentral. Lineage: Eukaryota; Metazoa; Chordata; Amphibia; Anura; Pelobatidae.